Impatiens glandulifera is the source of this 533-nucleotide long non-coding RNA. RefSeq lists it as uncharacterized. Lineage: Eukaryota; Viridiplantae; Streptophyta; Magnoliopsida; Ericales; Balsaminaceae. The record is from RefSeq and is a predicted model, not a curated record. The transcript is spliced from 2 exons.
CCCUCAAUAUAUAUAAGAACCAUUCCUCCUAUCUACAUGUUAAAACAACCUCAGACAGAAACCUCAAACAGAAAUGUUUUUGUGCGGAAAGAAAAUCCAAGGAGUAGUGGAAAUCCAAAGAGUAGUGGGAGGAUUAAAAAUUAAUGUAAGCACAAGUGCUACAGUUGACAUCUAUAUCUAUGAUUGUUUAUAUAAAUUAUUCUCCAGGGUGGUUCACAGAAUAAGGGGGUGGAUCACUAAAGAAGGAAGUAUGAAGAAUUGAUGAGAAGAGAACGGGUAUGUUGAAAGAAGGGAUGAGGAGAUAUAUUAUAUGUUGGAAGAAGAAGGGAUGAGAAGAUAUUAGAGCAGGUUGGAAGAAGGGAUGAGAAGAUAGAGAAGGUUGGAAGAAGAAGGGAUGAGAAGAUAGAGCAGGUUGAAAGAAAAAAUAAAGAAAUCAAGAAGAUAAAGGUGAAAAAAUGAAAAGUGUAAAAGAUUUGGGACCAAAAUUGAAUAAGUUUCUUCGGUUGUAAAAGAUUAAUAAUACUUUUUUAUUU